ACAAACUUGGUCAUUUAGAGGAAGUAAAAGUCGUAACAAGGUUUCCGUAGGUGAACCUGCGGAAGGAUCAUUAACGAGUUAGGGUCUUUCCAGGCCCGACCUCCCAACCCUGUGUUUACAUUACCACUGUUGCUUCGGCGGGCCGGACAUCUCUCUUUCAGGGGAGCCGACCGCCGGGUCGAGAGGGCUGCUCUCGCCCGGACAGCGCCCGUCAGGAGGCCUUUUACGAAUUCUCUGAUGCAAACCAUGUGUCUGAACAAACCUGAUUCGGAACGAAUCAAUAAUUAAAACAAAACUUUCAACAACGGAUCUCUUGGUUCUGGCAUCGAUGAAGAACGCAGC
This 342-nucleotide unclassified non-coding RNA is filed under the name uncultured fungus. RNAcentral's name for it is "partial contains small subunit ribosomal RNA, internal transcribed spacer 1, and 5.8S ribosomal RNA". The stretch from base 1 to 73 matches the Rfam family "Eukaryotic small subunit ribosomal RNA", at positions 1759 to 1831 of the family's 1831-position model. The record is from RNAcentral. Lineage: Eukaryota; Fungi.